UGACAGGUGGUGCAUGGUGUCGUCAGCUCGUGUCGUGAGAUGUUGGGUUAAGUCCCGCAACGAGCGCAACCCUCGACCUUAGUUGCCAGCAUUCAGUUGGGCACUCUAAGGUGACUGCCGGCUAAAAGUCGGAGGAAGUGGGGAUGACGUCAAAUCAUCAUGCCCCUUAUGACCUGGGCUACACACGUGCUACAAUGGGCGGUACAAAGGGUCGCGAACCCGCGAGGGGGAGCCAAUCCCAAAAAGCCGCUCUCAGUUCGGAUUGCAGGCUGCAACUCGCCUGCAUGAAGCCGGAAUCGCUAGUAAUCGCAGGUCAGCAUACUGCGGUGAAUACGUUCCCGGGCCUU
RNAcentral lists this ribosomal RNA (347 nucleotides) under uncultured Anoxybacillus sp. Its description in RNAcentral is "bacterial SSU rRNA". It matches the Rfam family "Bacterial small subunit ribosomal RNA", at positions 1032 to 1382 of the family's 1533-position model. The record is from RNAcentral. Lineage: Bacteria; Bacillati; Bacillota; Bacilli; Caryophanales; Anoxybacillaceae.